Molecule: unclassified non-coding RNA, 342 nt
Filed under: soil metagenome
Description: partial contains 5.8S ribosomal RNA, internal transcribed spacer 2, and large subunit ribosomal RNA
Rfam family: 5.8S ribosomal RNA (bases 1-120)
Source: RNAcentral
GAUGAAGAACGUAGCGAAAUGCGAUAAGUAAUGUGAAUUGCAGAAUUCAGUGAAUCAUCGAAUCUUUGAACGCACAUUGCGCCCGCCAGCACUCUGGCGGGCAUGCCUGUCCGAGCGUCAUUUACCACCCUCGGGCCCCCUUGGGGGCCCGGUGCUGGGGGCACGGCCCAGGCCGCCCCCGAAAUGCAGUGGCGACCCCGCCGCGUCCUCCCCUGCGCAGUAGCACAAUCUCGCACCGGAAGCGCGGAGGCGGUCAGGCCUGGAAACGCCCCAACUCAACGCAGUUGACCUCGGAUCAGGUAGGAGUACCCGCUGAACUUAAGCAUAUCAAUAAGCGGAGGA